Long non-coding RNA from Mesocricetus auratus (golden hamster), 2717 nucleotides. RefSeq lists it as uncharacterized. The record is from RefSeq and is a predicted model, not a curated record. NCBI's taxonomy places the organism in Eukaryota, Metazoa, Chordata, Mammalia, Rodentia, Cricetidae. The transcript has 4 exons.
UCCACUUUUUCUUUCUGUUUCUUCAGUGUCCACCCCUAACGGCUUACUCUUUUAAGUCCAGACUCUGCAUAUCUUACUUCCCAGUAGAAAGGGAAAUGAAAUUCUCUCUGUGGGUCUGCAGAAUUAGAACUCCUUAUGUGUACAGGGGAAAGCCUGAGUGCGGAUGUGCUUUUUAAAACAUCUUGAGGGCAUCGUGCCGACGAAGCCCUCAAGGGAGUGUGCACACGUAUUUGCUGAUGUUUCCAGGAGCUGAAGGUAAUAAAACUUUGAACUAAGCAGCAGCUCCAGCCCUGACACUUGUGAAGUUUGUGAAUAUUUCCAUAUUUCCUGGCACUUUUUGCACCUUCAGAGUUUACAGAAUAAACUCUUGUCCUUCAGGUCACACUGACACGAGUGAAGUCACAAAGCUGCAUUAUGCUCAGUGUCAUAUCUUAUUUGGCUCUUGGAUGCUACUUAGCAAGACUCCUGUCCAAAUGGCAGGCAAUGGUGAGCAAGGCAAUUAGGGAGAUUGGUUUAGCAUGCAUGAUUUCAUUUUCUGCUUCCUACGGUGAGAGAUGAAGGGACCAAGAUAACCAAAUUUGACUUAGUAAAAUUUAGACAUCAAUUUUUCAGAUUGUUUUUGUGUUGUAACAGCACUUACGAUAAAUUUAAACUUCAUUAUUUUUUAAAAUAACUAUUUCAGAAGACUUUUACAGGUAUGUGAAAUCUCCUUGUCUUUUCUCAAGGUCUCUUUAUCUUUUCUAUGUUAGUUUAUUGUCUAAAAAGAUUUAAAAAAUGCAUCAACCUUUCAAAUAAUAUCUUUUUUGAGCCUUUUUGUGUAUUUGGUGUUCUGUUACAUCAAUUUGUUCAUUAAUUUUAGGUUGGUUCAUUUCAUUGCUGUUAUUUUAAUGUCAUAUAUUAAAAUGCCACCAAAUAAUAACCUUGAACAAAAAAUGUAUGGCUGAAACAGCUCUGGUAUUUGCUGGAUAUUGAUUCCCUAAUUGGAUUAAAGUCUGUCUUUGACAGGAUUCCAAGAAAACAAGAAACAGCUCAUGAUUCACAACUGACUGGAUCUCCUCCCAGUGACCAUGGGUGAUGCUCAUUCAUUCAGCAAACUCUGAUUAAGGGUUUUGGUGGGCCUGGCUCAUGCUGUUGCCAUUGCCGCUGCAGCUGUAUUGUUGGUAUAGUUAUAGGACAAGUUGACAGGAGGAGAGGCAUGAGUCUUGGGAUUUGUUCCAGUCUGCCCAAAGGAGAAAGAAAAGCCCUUGCAAACUGCUGGGAGAGCUCAAGGGGCAUGAGGCUCAAGGAAGGGUGCUGAGGCUCCCAGGUGCUGUCACGUGAGCGUCGAUGAGGGUGACUUCUGGGCUCCCAGGUGGCUGUCAGGUGAGCGUCGAUGAGGGUGACAUCUGGAACGGUAGCUGAUGGUCUCUGAGGCACUGGGUGAUGUCAGAGGCACUGUGGGCCCUUUGUUGACAAGGUCAGUGCAGAUACUCAGAUGGCAUGAUCACAGUGCUUCGUUCAGAAAGGAUAGAUUGCUGGCAUUUCUUGCCUACUGCUGGCUGCUUUUGCCUUUCUUGUGCUUUAAUAUUGGUUUUAGACUUUAUUUAAGUGCGUGUGUAUACAGAUGGCCCUGUGGGGUCUCAGAUCACUUGGAACUGGGUUUAUGAGAGGUUGUUAGUCUGUAAUUGUGGUGGGCACCACACUACAGCCUUCUGCAAGAGGGGCGCUCACUUUUAAUGGUUGAACCAUCUCUCUUGACGCUGUCUAUGCUUUUCAAUGAGAAGUCUUGGGGACUGAGAAAACCAAGUUAGCAUGGAACACUCUUGUGUUCCUCCAUGGCCAUCUGUACAGCUACCCUGGUGUCCACAUCCCAGCUGGGCCUUCUGCACCGGGGAACAAACAUUAUGAACAUUUGCAAGUGCUUUUAGGUAACUAGGUAACUUUACUUAAUCCUUACAACAACACUAUGAGCUGGACAUACUAUCGGCAUUUCAUCAAAGGUCAGAGAAGUUACAUCUCAGAAGCAGGGAAGUUUGGCAUUCUAAAGUGUAUGCAGUUGUGGCUAAUUGAAAACAUUCCCAUUGGGAUCCUCAUUACAUGGGUGGGAGGUCAGCUGAGUUACUCUGUCCAGAACACACUGAAGCCUAGCUCUCUUUCCCUGGGCAUUAACUGCUGAGAGGCAGCACAGGGGUGAUACGACCAGGGACUGAGCACCCCCAGUAACCUUCACACUGCUAAGGGUUAGAAAUCUGCUCAUUUCUUGUCAGCACCAAAGCUUGCAGGACUCUAGAGAAACAGCAGUGCUGUGAAGCUCUGGGUACCUUGGCUUUCUUGUGCUCUGUUAACUUCCAUGUUCAUCUUUGUUCAAGAGGCUGAAGGAGCAUCAGCAUCUGGCUGGCUUGUGGAGACAAAGCGUCUUACAGAGAAGACUGCGGGUGAAGUUUUGCUAAUAAGCAGCAGAAAUGAAAAGAUGAUGCAGAUUUUUGACAUCUGAAGAAGGAGGAGGGAUGUGUCAGAACCAGACUGGAGCAAGUAGCAGAGCUGAGCUGCAUUUCCUCCAAGGUGAUCCUGCAGUAUUUUGUCCUUUUAUUUUCUGGCAAAGUCACAGAUACUUCGUGGACUCUUGAUAACUCUUCUCUUUUCAAGUGUCACCGAAUUCCUGAAAAUUCAAAAUGAUUUAGAAAUAUUGGUUGAGAGUUUCAAGUGUAGAGGUUGGCAAAAUAAACCACCUUUCUAGA